GGCACAAUUGUGAUUCAAGAACACCACGGCGGUGCAUAUGUAUGCAGCCGAUGGAGCGUCGUCGAUACCCAAACUGGUCCCCUUCCCUAGGUUAUCAAGGUCUUUGAAUCCAAAUCCAACCCCCAUAUCCCAAAAAAAAAACAUCUCUAAGCCCCUUAAUCAAACAAUCUGAAACUUAUCCCUAAUCUCAAAAUCCCCAAAAAUUGAACAGCAAACACAAGAGCCUCACAAAAUCAACAGAGGUCAAAGGAUUUUAAACAUGACAAACACCAACGGUCAUCAUGAAAGCGAAAUGAGCGAAUAGUUUACCUGACCGGACGUUACCGGUGCGGUGAUUUCCUUAGUAAGGUCUCCCCUCUUCCUUUUUCCCCUUUUUGUACCUUUACUUGGAAUGAAUCUUCUUCUUCUCCUUCUCUUUUUUUAUUGUGCUUCUAUGAGUGUUGUUGUUGUAUAGGCUUAACUCAUAUGGGUUAGGGCUUCGGAUAUGAAGUUUGAAGUACCUAUAGGUUACAAGCUCUAGUAAAAAAUUCUUAGGAUUUUUGGAUUUUGAAUGCUUCUGAGUAUUCUUCCUUCAGUAGGUUUUUUUCGUUAUUUCUAUGUGUGAAAUUGGAAUGGAUUUAUAAAAGAGUGGGGGUAUAAUUUGGUACGUUUGAGGGAGAGAUUAUAGGAAGAUAUUUUCGUCCUACAAGUGUGGGAAUCAAUUUGGAUAGGAAGUAAUGAAUGUGUGUCAUGUUGAUUUUGAUUUUUAAUGUUGUAGAAAUGUGAUUCUUAAAACAAUUCUCUUGAUUUUUAUGUUUACUUGGUUUAUUCACUACAGUGAAAUUGUUAAUUUGUUUUUCCUGUUUUUGAUUAAUUCGAUUAGGAUUGAUGUGUUAUGCAUGUUUGUUACUAAUAAUGCUUGAUGCAUGUGUUAAAUGUUGGUGGCUUGUUAUGUUGUUCUGGAUUGACGAUGUGAUAAUGGUUCUAUGUGGUGAUAUGUCCUUGUUAUGUAUGUUUUUAUGAUUUUUUUCUCAAGUUGUUGGACUUUGUUUUGCAGGGUCAGGCACAUGAGAUGGCAUGAGAAAGGAACAUGUUGAUGAUCUGCAUAUGAUGAGGAAAAGGGUGUGGGGCCUUCUACAAAGUUGGAAUUUCUCUCCUUUUGUACUUAUUUUUCUAUUUAUUAAAAAUUAAAUCUUCCUUGUACUUUAAUUAGAACUUAAUGCAACAAAGCUUUUUUUUUUGUAUUUUGUACUCAAUGUAUUGUAAAAACCUCCUUGUAUAUUUUAAUAAAAAAAUGCAAUAAAACUCUUUUGUUUUUUAAUUUUAAUUGUGUUAUAAGAAAGUGAUGCAAUGCAAAAUGUAUGCACCAUGUAUUUUCUUUGAAGUCAUAUAUAGAAAAAAAUUA
Molecule: long non-coding RNA, 1384 nt
Filed under: Lathyrus oleraceus (garden pea)
Lineage: Eukaryota; Viridiplantae; Streptophyta; Magnoliopsida; Fabales; Fabaceae
Description: Pisum sativum (pea) long non-coding RNA (PSAT_LNC030363)
Source: RNAcentral